RNAcentral lists this ribosomal RNA (468 nucleotides) under uncultured bacterium. RNAcentral's name for it is "partial 16S ribosomal RNA". It matches the Rfam family "Bacterial small subunit ribosomal RNA", at positions 28 to 507 of the family's 1533-position model. The record is from RNAcentral.
GACGAACGCUGGCGGCGUGCUUAACACAUGCAAGUCGAACGGAAAGGCCCUGCUUUUGUGGGGUGCUCGAGUGGCGAACGGGUGAGUAACACGUGAGUAACCUGUCCUUGACUUUGGGGUAACUUCAGGAAACUGGGGCUCAUACCGGAUAGGAGCUCCUGCUGCAUGGUGGGGGUUGGAAAGUUUCGGCGGUUGGGGAUGGACUCGCGGCUUAUCAGCUUGUUGGUGGGGUAGUGGCUUACCAAGGCUUUGACGGGUAGCCGGCCUGGGAGGGUGAACGGCCACCUUAGGCCUGGGAUACGACCCAGACUCGUACCGGAGGCAACGGUGGAGAGUAUUGCACAAUAGGCGGGAGCCUGAUGCGACAACGCCGCGUUCGGGAUGACGGGCUUCGAGUUGUGAACCACUUUCGCCUGUGACGAAGCGUUAGUGACGGUAAUGGGUAAAGAAGCACCGGCUAACUACGUG